GAAUGUUAUAGAGACAUUUGGAGGUUCCUAAAACGUUGGCUAUUUAAGAUUCUGGGAUCACCUGUCCAUAUUAGGAUAUAUAUUAAUUUUAAUAAUUGUGUCGUCAUGGGAGUCCCCCAUUUUAUACAAAUUAUCUGCUAGGACAUAUUGCUCUUACCUGUAGAAAACACCCCUGAGGAAGUCUGUAUAGAUGAAACGCGUUGGUUAAAGGUCUUAGACAUAGUGGGU
Long non-coding RNA from Pseudophryne corroboree (corroboree frog), 228 nucleotides. RefSeq lists it as uncharacterized. The transcript has 3 exons. NCBI's taxonomy places the organism in Eukaryota, Metazoa, Chordata, Amphibia, Anura, Myobatrachidae. The record is from RefSeq and is a predicted model, not a curated record.